GUAGGUGGCAAGCGUUGUCCGGAAUUAUUGGGCGUAAAGCGCGCGCAGGCGGGUCCUUUAAGUCUGAUGUGAAAGCCCACGGGCUCAACCGUGGAGGGUCAUUGGAAACUGGGGGACUUGAGUACAGAAGAGGAAAGCGGAAUUCCAAGUGUAGCGGCGAAAUGCGUAGAGAUUUGGAGGAACACCAGUGGCGAAGGCGGCUUUCUGGUCUGUAACUGACGCUGAGGCGCGAAAGCGUGGGGAGCAAACAGGAUUAGAUACCCUGGUAGUCCACGCCGUAAACGAUGAGUGCUAAGUGUUAGGGGUUUCCGCCCCUUAGUGCUGCAGCUAACGCAUUAAGCACUCCGCCUGGGGAGUACGGCCGCAAAGGCUG
RNAcentral lists this ribosomal RNA (373 nucleotides) under uncultured organism. Its description in RNAcentral is "partial 16S ribosomal RNA". It matches the Rfam family "Bacterial small subunit ribosomal RNA", at positions 527 to 896 of the family's 1533-position model. The record is from RNAcentral.